RNAcentral lists this RNase P RNA (348 nucleotides) under Candidatus Woesearchaeota archaeon. Its description in RNAcentral is "RNase P RNA component". It matches the Rfam family "Archaeal RNase P". Rfam says of the family: Ribonuclease P (RNase P) is a ubiquitous endoribonuclease, found in archaea, bacteria and eukarya as well as chloroplasts and mitochondria. The record is from RNAcentral. Lineage: Archaea; Nanobdellati; Candidatus Woesearchaeota.
GUCAGAAACUGACUGGCGGUGGACUGUUUUGCUUGCAUUACAUGUCUGCUGAGGAAAGUCCGCCCACUAUAUAUCGGCUGCUUUUGCAAUGGAGCUUCUCCAGGGCACAAGUCCCGGAAACGGGAGGCAACCGCUCAGAAACGAUACCACCUGGCAGAUGCUAUGAUGCUUGCGAAGGCUGUGGCGACACAGCUGAGCUAACCAGCUGAGUCUGCUGUCAGGAAAGGAUGAAACGGCGAGCCCCGGCCAGUGCAAGUCAUAUUGACGCUAAGUAGAAUGUCAGUGCAGGUCAUCGCAAUAUAAUGCAAUUAUAUUGUUCGGGCCUGACAGAAGGCGGCUUAUUCUGAC